GUCCUGGGCCUCUUCAAGGGGAGCCCCCUUGACUUCCCUGCGUGCGCCCUCCAGGCCUUCGAGGUGCUAGAACCUUCUUUAGCAUCUUUAGCGCCUUUCCUUGGUGGCCCUCAAGACUUCACUGAGAACAGAGGAGCCAGUAUUUUAGGUUUAGGUGAGGGGAUCACAACCCCAAAUCUUAGGAAUUUAGAGCCAACGUUCUGACUUGACGAAAAAGCAAAAGGAUGUGCUCGAGGAAGAGAGUCGGAUGGAACUACAAAAAGAUGGUCAGACGGAGAAUAAAAAGAUUGGCUUAUCUUGGCAUUACCUCUAGCUAGUUUUAGGCCUUGGACAAGUCAGGGAAGCUCUUUGAGACCAUUUGCCUAUAAAAUGGAAUAAUAAUAAGCCCUACCCUCAAUGUUAUUGUAAGGAAAAGCAGAUUGAUGCAUGUGACAAUGUAAACUAUAAAUUGCCAUACAAAUUUAAGGUAUUGUAUCUUCAGAGAUUUACGGCCCAGUCCAAGGAGAAAAAGAAACAAGAUAGUUUAACCUUGACUUCUAAGAACACCACAGUGAAAGCCGCAUUUCCCAACAUGGUUUUAGCCAUACUUUGAAGAAGAUCCCAGGGAGCUAUGGGACUGUCACAAAAUUCUUGCAAAAUCGUCUCAACCAGGAUACUUGUAUUUUACCUUCAUUAAAAAAAAAAAAAAAAUUGCUUGCCAUUUAGUACCUCUGAGGGGAUGUUAUGAAUCAAAGACGGAGUGUAAAAAUAGUGAAAAAGUAGAUGAAGACUAGGAAAUCAUUCAGCUGAACCAAAUAAAACAAGUUGUGUGUUUUACUACACAAUCCCUCAGAGCCUUUGAAUGCACAUUGUGACUCAAAAGAGAUUCCCAGGAAUCUGCACGUGAGGCCUGAUGGAUCUGUCAAGAAAUGCACCCGAACACCAAGCCUGUUCUUUAUUCACAUCUUCAUCACAGGCCGAUUGGACUACUCUCAUACCCGGGAUUUCUAAGCUUUGGGACCUCAGGCAAAUCAUUGCAAUUUCCCCUUCUUCAUCUGUAGCCAACUGCUUGCAAAGAAUUAAAACCUCAUAGAUUCAUUAACCUAACUUUUAUUGAGGGCCUGUGUGCCAGGCCUAGCACAGCACGGUCGGCACACAAGCACAGGAAGCAAGUAAAAACUUCAGCCCUUAAGGAGUUCCAAUGGCAGGAGGAGACGCACACAAACAAUGAAGCGAUGACCGGUGCUGGCCAUUCACCUUGAGCAGCUGUCGGUUGGCCUAGAGCAGAGGGAUCUGGUCUCAUACGCAGAUGCCUACAGGGAAGAGAUGGGGAAUAGAAAGGUGAGAGUCUGGGAGUGCAGAAUGGGAGAAGACAGGCGUGGUCUGCAGACAGAGCCACUGUGAAGCAGACGCUGAUUGUUGACCCAGUCCUUCAAGAGAAGCCAGACAUCUGAACUGUUAUGUGAAAUCCCCUGACUUCCGAAUGUUGUCAGCUAGAUCAGGCUUUUAAAACACACUUGCAGGACCAUCAAAACUCACCCCACGGGCUGCCAGUUCGUAACUUCUGGGCUGCCAUGUCACCAAAAAUUAUUCCAUAGUGUGAUAAGAACACAAGAGGCUUGAGAGACAUUGUUUUAUAACUACUAUCAAUAAAGGAAGUAUGAGUGCCAGCUUUUUUACAAAGUGUGUUUUCCUUUCCCAUAAUGUCAUCUGGAAGCAAUUCCUCCCAACAGCUGGAUUUGCUUUCACAAUUGGUAAACACGUAAAAUGGAAGGCAGGGGAAGAUGUGGAGUGUCACCAGAGGAGCCUUUCCCCCACCCGCUUGGCUCGUGUUCUGAGGCUUAUCUUGGGUCUCUGCACAAGCCUCAUCAAAACUGAGAAUGUCUUCAAACAAGCGACCCACACUGCAUUCCCUCCUUCAGGGGGUCAGCAUGUUCUUUGGGGGAGAAAUUUUCUGAAUACUUUGCAGAUAAAAUCGAUCAGAUGCAGACCAGAUUGCCAGCUGCCAAGAUCUCGGAGCUACACGUGGAGGCCAGCAAAGCAGCACCUUCUCCAAGACCUCACCAUCCUGGUACAAUCAGGACCUCUGGGGUCCUGCAGGAAGCCUCCCGCAGGGCACAGCCUUCCCAGAGCCACUGCCACCAAAGCCAAUACAGGACGAGAGCCCAAAGAGCACCGACUAGGUCAUCAAAGAAAAUGAAUGUCCCCCCCACCCCACCCCCCCAUAUGCUCCCGAGGAACAAGUUUUCACGCAGGCACAAACAGAAGGCAGCCAGUACUCCGGAAGGCCAAGAGCACAGCUGUCAUCUGGGUGUUGGCUCACACCCUCUCCACUCUGUCUCCAGGGUCUCGGGGGCCGCUUCUCUAGGGGUUCACCAACAUGGUUAGUUCUGGUCCAGGAGGUUCAGGGCACAGUUUAAGCUGGAAUACAGUGCCGGGGGGGCAAAGCUGAGGCUUCAGGCACUCUCCUCCCAUAUAAGAAACGCUAUUCUUUGAUCAAAGUUUCAAAUUUGGAAGAAAUCAACCUAGCAUAUGGCUCAACUCUCAGAGGGAGCACGAGAGUAUGCUGUUGACCAGGCAGCCCUACAGAGAUGCAGAAGAGGGUAUGUGUCACCCGGCCCAGCGGCGGGGAUGACCUCAACACGGUGUCGGCCAGAUGGGGAGAGAGUGGGGGGUAGGAGGGGCUUCCUUCCAAGCACCACCAACCCUCUGGGUAGCCAGGGCCCCACUUCCUGUGAGGGAGCUUCCCUGUGCUGUGGACCCUUGGCUGCAAAGUCCUCCUGGAAGAGAUGAGCACCCCACCCACUGAACAAACAAAAGGAGCCGAUCAGGAGCAGGGCUCACCAGAGGACCCUGAGGAGGCUGACUGCCCAGCUCCUCAGCACAAGCUGCAAACGGAGCCCCUUUGCCUAGGCCCAUGGUGGGUGGAGUGCACUCUUUCUCGGGUCUGCUUCUUUCCUGGGGUCCAUCUUCUCUCUCUGUCCUCCAGGAAGAGGCUGUAUCUUGUCUGGAGUCAAGGAACAGAAACUUCAUUGUACAGUUUUCCAAAUCUCAUGCCUCAUAUCUGAAAUGUCGAAACUCUGUGUUUCUAGUUGCAGGCCAAGGCUGCUUCCUCCAGACCCUGGUCACUCUGGUCUGAUCGCCUGCACUGCUGGGAGGGCCCUCGGAGUCCACUCGGCGAGAUUCACUGAAGCCCAGGGGGGUGGGUGGGUGAGAGCAACCCCCUGGUUAAUACUUCAAAGUGACCCUCUAGAUGAAAGCAACUAGAGCUCUAACAACCAGAUGCAAUGCGUGCACCUUGUUUGGAUCCUGAUUCAAAUGUACCAACCGUAAGGAGACAUCUUGGGAUAGUUCAAGAAAAUGUGAAUUUGGACUGGGUAUCAGAAAACAUUUAAGAACUUAUUGUUAAUUUUGAUAAGUAAGUGUGGAAAAAAACAUAAAAAAUAAAUAUGUAAACAAAUUUUUA
Neofelis nebulosa (Clouded leopard) is the source of this 3445-nucleotide long non-coding RNA. RefSeq lists it as uncharacterized. Lineage: Eukaryota; Metazoa; Chordata; Mammalia; Carnivora; Felidae. The record is from RefSeq and is a predicted model, not a curated record. The transcript has 2 exons.